AUAGAGGGCAAGCGGUGGCGUGGCACGCGCCUGGUGUCGGGCUCUGUAGAUUUCUUGUGAAGAGGAAGAGAAAGUGUGAACCGGAGAUAGAGGCGGCAACUGUGUCUGACCUUGCCCUGUUUCACACACACACACACAUUGGGCACACGCCGUGUGUCCCUGUGGCGACUGCAAUCCUUUUCCGGCCGUAGAGGCUUUGGAACGGCGACUGGGCCGUUUCGUUUUCGCCUGUUUGUUUGUGUGUGUGUGUGUGCACCGUCGCCUACACCUUUUCUUCUCUCUCGUCCUUUCGCUCAUCAUCAAGCGACUCCGCGCGCCGGCUCACCCCACCCCCUCCCACCCAAAAUGCAGCGAGAGGUGAUCAAGUGGGUGCAGUCCCUCGACCUUUCUGCGCCCAUACAGAACCCAAAGCGUGACUUGGCCACCGGCCACCUUGCGGCAGAGAUCGUGGCGCGUUAUAGCGGCACCAAGUUCUUGGACCUCCAGCGACUUCCCAUGGGCGUCGCGGGGGCCACGAAGCGGGAUGUAUGGUCACAGGUGUACCGUGCGCUGCAGCAACUCAGCUGCACCACUGUAACUCGACCGCUGAUUGAUGCAGUGCUGCGCCGGGAACCGAACGCGGCUCUCACGGUACUCGAAUACCUCUACGAGCACUUCACCGGCCACGCGCUGCUGAUGCACGGCCUAGACGCCGUGGGGACAAGCAAGGACGCGUACGUGCAGCCGCGAAACGCCACCUCCACCGAGAGGUUGCUGAAAGUGACGAGUGGGAAGCCGAACAACGAUUUCAGCAGCGGCGUUGAGGAGGCAACCCUCACUGCAAAAAGGAAGCUCUUCGACCCUGUCACGCGUGCGUCACAGCUGACCAGCGCGGCCCGCAGUAGCUCAACGGCGGAUGUGAGGUACUCAGGGCAAGACACUGCGGCAGACUGGUCCGACGGCGGUGGGGAUGCCUCUGGCAAUAACUCGACACGUGCUCUGCAGCACCGACUGGCCCUCAUCGACAACAGCGAGCUCGCCGGCGGGGCGAAUGCGCUGCAGGCGUACCCGCGCUACGCUCGACCCACGGCCAGCAGUCUUGUCCACACCGCCAGCGGCAGCCGAAAGGACGUCGUGCUGGACAAGCCAAAGUACACGGCGGACGAGGUUCUUCAGCAGCAGCAGAACAAACGCAUUCUUCACCAGCAUGCCGUGGUGCAGCGACUGCAAGAGGAAUCCGACGAAGCGACCGUGGAGGGCCCAUCACGCACGCGAACGGGCACCCCGGCAGCGGAGACCACCGCGUCCUCGUUGCCGGCGUCGCCACUGCGCGAGAAGGCCGCGCUGCACGCAAACAGGGGCGCCGCCGCCGCGGCGCCCCUGACGACCCUGUACCGCGGCCGCUUCUACCGACAGCCCGAUGCACCAAUGGUGACAGGAACGGCCAAGGUGUCCAACGGCCCCCGAAAGGCUAAAAAGGGCAAGCGGGAAGAGGUAGGCGCAAAGGCCCAGCGCGGCGCCGCAGCGGCAUCGUCUAAGGAUCACGCUAUCGAUGCCGACGGCAAGCUGGACCGUCGUGCGGCUGCAGCAUCCGGCGACAUCCUCUCCACUCCCGAGUUCGCUGGCAGUACCAGAGGCGGUGGCAGCACUGACGGAACUCGCGUCGUUCCCGUGCUGCGCGUCAAUGUUCAUUCAGCCUCACUGCAGGCUGCUCUGGCGCUGCGCAGCGAUCACGCAGAGCUGCAAGAGCGGGCCGCGACAUUGUCACUUGAGCACUUCGCCAAGCACAACUACGCCCUGCGCCCAGGCCUUAGCGACAUCCUCGUGGACGUGCUGGCCGCGCACAAGCAGCUGCAGCGGCUCCUCGAUUGCUGUGUCGAGGAUGGCAACAGCGAGGUGCUCGACAACGUCCUGGGUCAUCUGCUUGCUCACCGCGAUGAGUUCCCUCCCGCGUGCAUACGGGCCUGCUGGCAGGCUCUCGUACAACAUGCUGACGGCAUCGUUUCGUUACUCCAGAAGAACCCAGACGAGUAUGGCUAUCUCAUGGAGUCCUUGGCGUUCGCGUUCAGCCGUGAGGCGGCCCAGGUCCCGCUGCUUCACAUAUCACAAACCGUCCCUGUCUCUGACGAGGCGGAUGAUGCCGAGCAAGAGGAAAGGGCUGCCGCAACAACGGGUGGGUCGCCGCUGCUGCCGUUCUUCGGCUCGACGCGACGCAGCAUUGCCUUGUCGAGUGGAAUCGUUGCUGGGGCGGGACACGCAGCUGCUGCAGCCGCGUCGGCCGCUCGACGCUGCUCUCCAUUCCCUGGGACAGGGCCGGCGGCUGAAGGCGACACCGCCAGCCCACGACAUCGACACAGCCUCAGUGAGGCCCUCCUUACGGCGACGCACCGCGCGGCUUCUGUGGCGGCCGGGUCUUUCAACGCAUCUAACGCGGCGUCGUCGUCGUCACGCCAGAGAGCCAUCGUUGACACCUGCGACGGCUUGCCGGUCGCUUGCGCCUUUGGCUUUCUCUACCGCAUCGCGCGCCAGCUCGACGUGCGGACCGCGGCCUACGUACUGGAGCGGUACGUGCUGCGCAGCGCCAAGCCAUUUCUUCUGCGACACGGCACCGUGGCCGUCCGCGAGGCCGUUGCACGCGUCAUGAGUGCAUCCUUUGUGCCGGCGCCGCCCAAAAACGCCGCUGCUGCCGUUGAUGCCGAGAGCAACGGUGAGGCUGUUGCAGCUGCGGCGGUGGACUCUGAGGAGGCCUUUGCCCAGUUCCUCACGGGCCAGCUGGCACGCACCCUGCUGGGGCCCUUCUCGACUGCGUGCAACACUCACCGCGGCGCGGCGUCUACGCCGUUGCGUGACAGCCCUGACGAUAGCGCGGCGAACCACGACACGCACAGCACGCUCCCUCUGCAGCUGAGCCUGCAGCGUGCGUACUGGCUCAUCGUCUUCCACGCUGUUGCAGACUACCCUUGCCCCGCUGAUCAUGGAAUGGCUACGUCUAGCGGCGCUGAUGGACCGCUCGCCGCAUGCGUACGGAACGCUGCGGUGACAUGCUUGUCGUGCACCGAUGCGGACCUCCUGACUAUCGGCGUGGGCCUCACGAUAGAGUACAGCAAGCGAUGGCUUCCCCGCGAUGCGUCGCCGAUCGACGCGGCUGUUGACAACGCAGUGGCGCGCGGGCGCGAUCUACUGUCCCACGUGUUGCCAUCACUCGAUGCCGCAGCGGACCAGCUUGCGACACCGUGGUGGCACACGCGGUCGGCGAACACGUGGGAGUGUCGGUUGAUGGUUCUGCGGCUGUGCAACGCUCUUCUCGCCCACCCGCUCUUCGCCGGUGCAGGGUCACCCAAGGCGAGCGCCGAAAGCCGCAGCGAUGAUGGCAAGGCGGCUUCCUGCAACUGGCGCGCCACCGUCGAUGCCGCCGCUGCGGAAUGCCUUGGGACGUUUGCCAAGGAUUCGUCGUGGCAGCUGCAGUUGGCGCUGGGUGUGGCGGCCAAAUCCAUCGACCAAACCUCGGCGCCCACCCUGACCGAUACGUGGCGCCAACUGCUCUGCAGCAUUCCAGUAGCUUCAUUGCCGAUGCAACUACUACCGUACGACGAAGCACCGGUGCGCCUGCGGCUGCUGCGCCCACUGCGGUCAGCGGCAAGCGUCAGGGAGGCGGCGGAGAGCGAAAGGUCUAAGGGCGCGCAGCCCAGCGCUCGACCGCAGCAGGUGCGGAUGUCGUCAUGCCAGAACGACCGCGCCGCUCCCUUGCAUAGCGCCACCUCAGCCUUCGCCGGGGAGCCUGCGUCGUGGACGUGGACUCCGUCGAGGGAGAACGGGGAUAGCUGGCGCAGUCCAGGCACCAGCACCGCCGCUCCGGCCACCGCUGAGGCGGCGCUGCACUUCGUGUGGGGCCGCGUCCUCUCCGUCUAUGCAGUGGUGCCUCUCAACCAGACGUGGAAUGUGCAGGGUGUGGUAGAUGCGGUGCUACCGCCGCUGGCAGGCAGCGACGCUGCCACUGCCGCGUCGUCACCUCCAGCAGCUCCGGCCAUGGCGCCAGCGCUUCAACUGCUCGUCAUGGCGGCUGCGUUGCUCAGCCCGCCCGCUACCGCAACAACGGCAGUGGCUGCCGCACCGUCGAUGGCCUCGCCGCAUAAGCUGCCGUCCGUGUCACCGGCCGAUGCUGAACCGGUGGACGUCGGUGAGUUAAGUGGCGCCUUCUGGCUCGUGGCGCUCCGUCGUGCCUGGCCGCUGUUUCAGGCUUGCGGCGUGUCGCACGAGCCCAUGACCCAAGGAGCGGAAAUAAACAUCGCCGAGGACGCGGCCUCAUUACUGGGUGGUGUGGCCGUGGACAGGGCCGGCUCUGGCGUGAAUCUGGAGGACUUACGCACCAUCGUACUUUCUCUUUUCCUCCGUUUCGCGGACGACGCCGCCGUCGCCUCGGCGAUGGCUGCAGCGGACGGAGACGGGGGGAAUCUGUGCGGGAGUGCCAUUCGCUGGGCGGAGGCGCUGUGCAGCGACGCGCAUGCUACUUGUGCGCAAUAACGGGAAAAGUGAUCGAGGAAGCGACAAUGGCACGAGGCUAACAUGGUCACUGGAUGGAGACCGAACCAGAGCGCGCGUGCGCGCACAGCAAUCCCGCCUGCUUCUGUACAUGUGUACAUACACGUUAUCGGGGGUGUAGACCCUCGUGAUGAGGCGCCGAGCAGUCGGCUGCUCACUUUUUUUUCGGUUUUUGUUUUUGCCCGAACGCCUCUCGAUGGCCUUCUCUCUGUAUGUGAAACGUACAUGGAGAAAAGGGCGAGAGAAUGCCAGCGGCCGUCGUUGGGUGCGGAUGUACAACUCACGGGCGGAGAGAAGAGCGCUGAUCUCGCCUUCCCCUCCUCUUACGCGUGAUCAUGAUCCUCUGGAAAAGGAAGAUGCGAAAC
This 4883-nucleotide unclassified non-coding RNA is filed under the name Leishmania donovani. RNAcentral describes it as "gene:LdHU3.19.0610(CDS-product:hypothetical_prote in_conserved)". The record is from RNAcentral. Lineage: Eukaryota; Euglenozoa; Kinetoplastea; Trypanosomatida; Trypanosomatidae.